CCAGACUCCUACGGGAGGCAGCAGUGAGGAAUAUUGGUCAAUGGGCGCGAGCCUGAACCAGCCAAGUCGCGUGAGGGAAGACGGUCCUAUGGAUUGUAAACCUCUUUUGUCGGGGAGCAAAAGACGCCACGCGUGGCGUUCCGAGAGUACCCGAAGAAAAAGCAUCGGCUAACUCCGUGCCAGCAGCCGCGGUAAUACGGAGGAUGCGAGCGUUAUCCGGAUUUAUUGGGUUUAAAGGGUGCGCAGGCGGAGGUGCAAGUCAGGGGUCAAAUUGGGGGGCGAAACCUCGUCGAGCCGUUGAAACUGGGUGCCUUGAGUGGGCGAGAAGUACGCGGAAUGCGUGGUGUAGCGGUGAAAUGCAUAGAUAUCACGCAGAACUCCGAUUGCGAAGGCAGCGUACCGGCGCCCAACUGACGCUGAAGCACGAAGGCGUGGGUAUCGAACAGGAUUAGAUACCCCCGUAUAA
Molecule: ribosomal RNA, 466 nt
Filed under: uncultured bacterium
Lineage: Bacteria
Description: bacterial SSU rRNA
Rfam family: Bacterial small subunit ribosomal RNA
Source: RNAcentral